CAGACGUAAUUAUAACAACAUACAGAAAUACCAGGAUGUUCAAAAGUGGCUCUCAAUGUCGCCACCCUGGAUUCAGUAACUAUCAAAAAUAUCAGUCCACACUAAAAAAGAAAUGGUCGCUUAGACUCCUAAAUAGACAAACACACACAGCUCCAAGUUUAGUCGGCUUUUAACGAACCACACACCGGUGGCUUUGUUCAGAACAACUGCCUUCCUCCGUAAUGUGUUUUGGUUGCUGCUGUUUGGGCCUUUAGAUUACGUGACACUCUGCUGUUGCCACAUUUCUACAGAGGUCAUUGCAAUAACUUGCCCCCCCCCUGUGACUUACAUCUAGCAAAAUACACAAACACAUGUCAGCCCAUUUACACACUGACACACAAAUACAUGGCGUGGACAUACACAGCACAACACACUCACACAAAAUCUCCACUAAAGUAAAGUUGUUGAUCUGAUGCACUCUCUUUUCAGUUAACAGCAAUUAGCGAUGCUCUGUGUGAGUAUUAGCCAUGACCUUUUUUAGUUAAAUUAAACGUUAAGAGGAAAACUAUUCUUGGUAUGUCACUGCGACCUGUCUCACAGCUUUAGCUGAGCAUGAUUAUUUUUUUAACAUUCAGCUGCACAUUCAAGCUCUUACAAUGUACAUGUACUUUCCUCUUUUUUCAUUAAGAAUGUAACAAAGUGGUAAAAAAGUAGGAAUAUGCCUGUCUGGUGAGUGGUGGGCCUGAUGCUGUGGCACGCACACUACAAUUUUGACUGUAAUAUAUAUAUACAUAUAUAUAAAUAUAGUGUCUUAGAUAUAUAUGUUAAAUAUACAUUUGACUACUUUGCUAUUGACUUUGAGGCUUAAGGGGGCUUUUCAAAUAUCCCUCAAUAAAGACUGGACCUUAUAACAAUAGCUUAUUUUUGUAGUAUUUCCAAAAGCAAUAGUAUAGCAGUAAAAACAAGCAAUUAUUAAACUAAUCUUUGAACUGAAAUGUUUAGGGACCAACAUCCGAACCAAGCCAUUUUUUGGACCUUUGGCAGCAGACCUUGCACCAAACAAUGCGAAAUGAAACAACCUACAAGACGACAACAAUCCAUUUCAACUCACUUAUGGUCAGAAGCAAAUUACAUCACCAAUGUGGAGCAUUUUCUUGGCAUAGUCUCUUUUUAAUAUGUCUUCCUUGAUUUUUUUCAGAGGCACAAAUAACAACGAUGUACAAAACAAUUUCUAAGGAAUCAAUCAUCCGAAAGAGAAAAUAAAUAUGCAGGCUAUGGAAAAUUGAGUUGUACUUAACCGUGUCAAAAUGAUGAAAGAAUUGCAGUACAGAAGGCUCACAUUUAGAAAAAUGUUUACAAUUGUUAAAUGUGAACACAAUUACAAAAAUCUAAUUGGCAACAUAAUGAGACUGAUAAUUAAACAUAUUGCAUUAGCGUUUCUUUUUUUUAAUUUCCUUGUCAUAUUGUGUCAAAUGUAUCUCAAAACCUCCAUGAGAAACUAGAGAAGAAGGAAAGUCGAUCCUUCAAUGUGUAAGAAAUAACUGACGGCGCUGGCAGAUAAUAUCACUGCAUAUCAUGAAUUACAAAUAUAUGGUAAUUAAGGGCUUGCUUUUAUCAUUGAGGUGGUGUUGCCCCAUAUGUAUUAAGAAUGAAUGUUUUUGUUAUCUCUUUCCCUAAAACUUUCUUCUCAUAUUUCUUUUCCAUAUGAAUUCACCCUAAACAAGGAAUUUCCAUCUGUUUGAUGUGUUUGCUUUCCUCUCUCCCACUUCCCACUUCUCACAUCUCACUUCCAUAUUAACAGAAACUCCCUCUUGAGUCUACCUAUCUGUGUAGUGAGCAAUUCCUGGGGGAAAGCAUGGCGCUUCAACACCUAGCGCUUUUUAAGUUAAAAAUAGUGCUCCUCCGCAAACGAAAAGGUUAUCCAAUUAAAAGUAAUUGCUUGAGAAGAGGAUUGGAUGCGCUGGUCUUCCAGGAAAAUAAAUAAAUAAAUAAUGACAACAAGUCGCUAACGGCCUGUUAUUGCAUUAUUCAGCGUGAUGUCCCUCAAUCUACAUCCCCCCCAGGUCCUUCUCAGUCUCUCCUUUCUCAUAAUUUACCAUAAAACAUCAAAGGUUUUUAACUCUUAAUUUAGAGUAAGGUGCGAUGACUUGAGACGGGACAGCGAGGAGACUGGCAGACUUCCAAAAGCUCUUCUGCAGAAGACAAAGAAUAUAAAACAAAGCAGAAAAAAAGAGAGCUGACGGUUUUGUUAAAGGUUCAGAGUGAAACACCUGAAGGAACUUAAAUUGCUGGGGUUACUUGUGUAAAACAUCUUCACCACAGUAGUUCCCUUCAUCAUUAGCUGUCCAGUCAAAGACCACGUCUCAGCUCUCCUAAUUCUCUGUGAUCAACGAUUUGCUUCAAUUCAGUGUGCACCUAAACUCAAUAAGAUUUUCUACGCAGGAAUAUGCAGAAAACACACUUAUCAUAUAGAAUACAACUCUCUACGUUCAACACAGUUCUUAUUUAGCACACUCCAGGUUGGUGUCCUCCGAUCAACCCUUUAAAUGGUUAAAUUAGGUAGCUUAGUUUCUGCUAAGAUAAGACAAGAUAAAACAUUAUUCUUCCCGAGGGAAGUUCUUCUGGCAGAGUCUGAUCAAAGUUUACAACAGAAGAACAACAGCAAACAAAAAACAAUACUAAUGGGACUAGCAGCUUCAAAAUGUGACCUAUAUAACUUCAAAAGUACUAAUUGCAGAACUGUUAACUAUGGACCUCAUCAAUAGUCUGGGUGGUUACUACAGUUUUAUGGGUACCAUUUUAUAACAUGGUAUGGGGGAGGGGGGUGGCAUUCAUUCUCAAUGCAAAUAUGUAGCAUCCGUGUUGCUGGGUACCUUAUGAAGGAUGGAGGCCUGUCGGAGGUUAAAAUGAAAGCAUUAGUAACACUUUUUACCUCAGUGGCAGUCGCCAAAAAAAGGCCGCAAAAGACCGGUUUCGGGCAAUGCAAGCUUUCGCAACCGAUGUAGGGCACUUAGCUGAAGAGGACAAUUCAGGUGGACGUCAUGAGCAAAGUGAAUGAAUGAGACGGUGCGAGAUCUAGCAAGGAGACCUGGGAUGUUUUCAGACAAAGCACAAAUCAAUGUCAAUCUAGUUGUAUUUCCGUUAUUCAAACACAGUCAGCAGUUUAACAGCAUUAGCAGCAUGCAUGGUGUUUAUCUGUAUAGAACUUCCUUGUCAUUUUACAUACAACACUCACUUCAUUUUGUAGUUUUACCGACACCCACCGUUUAAAUGAUAAACCACAAAUCACAAGAGCAAUUGUGGGUAUGAUAAACAAGCUGUGAGCUUGCUCUGUACCUGUGGCCAUUGACAUCAAUACAGCCAUUUAAGAAAAGCUGACCUUUAAAAUACAAUUUUUGACAAUUUUCUUUUCUUUCCCUGUUUUAUACACACAGAAUUCAGCGCUCGAAGAGAGCACAGACACAAUAAACCAGUUGCUAUCCAUCAUUUUAGUCCUCGCUGUGCAGCUACCAUACCAUACAAUGAAUUUGAGUGGCAAGAAUCAUUUGCAGGUUAACGACAGAGAAGAGCCACCAGAGAUGUGGAUUCAGCGACGUCCAAAGACAGCUUUCAUUAUAACUAAUGCAAUAUGAGAGUAGGGCAUUGACAUAGCUUCUGAUAUAAAGCAACAAACAAUGAGACAACCUCAAAAAGCCGGGCCCAUCAAGGAUGACAGCCAGCUAGAAUGAGAAAAGAACAGCACAUGGUAGACAGAAGGAGGGAAUACCAAUGUUGUCCUCUAUUCGUUCUUUCCUUCGCAGUCUUGUUGCCAAGAGUGAAACAGGAUUGUUGCCUCCACCUCUGUUUUCCACGAUUAGUCUUACUUUCUCCCUUCUUGUCCUUCUUCCUUCCAUUUAUCUUCCUCCUUUACACCCCAUUUUCAACUCUGUGUUCCGCCUUUUCCUCUAUCUGCCGCACGUCCCCGUUCCUCUCCCCCUUUCCUUCUUAUCUCUAUUUCCAUCCUCAUUUCUUUUGUCCCGAUCACUCACCAGUCCUGUUUCCUUACUCCGCCUUCUGCUCCAUUUCCAUCUCUUCCGUCACUCUGUCAAUCAUCUCUCUUAUAUGUCUCCACAUUUACUCCAAACUGUUUCUUGCCCCUCCCUGUGUAGCCUGUUGCAUUAUUCAGUCGGGCAUCUUUCACUUUUGGUCUUCCGUCUACCAGUUUGAGAUUACACUAGAAGGGCCACGGGAAAGUGAAUGAACAGUCAAAGUCUGUCAUUUAUCCUGAUUUGCUGUCAAACACCUGAGUGAAGCCUAGAGGAUGACGGAGUGGGGUUGAUGGGGUGGGGAAGAGCAAAGGGAAGGAAAGGAGAGAGAUGCAGAGGGUCAGGGAGUCAGAGGACAAUUUGUGUAGUUCUCGCUCUCUCCAACAGACACCUUUCCUCUGGCUUGUCUGCAACCUAAACAGCACGAGACACACGUAGCAGCAUGGCAACAGCUUGAAUCCCAGGCAGAAGAAACAACAGGCAAGCGGGUCUCGUGGAGAAAUCCGCUUGUUGGAACGUCAAGCCGACAGAAACCAGGGGAAGGAGGGGCUAAUCUCGUGGUCGGGGACAGAACACCGGGGCGAUUUACCACAGCAGAUGCAAGGCAGGAGUCUCAUGGUCGGGGACGGAAGGCUGAGGACUCCAAACGGACGGGGUCAGCAACAGGAAAUCAGUCGGAGGGUAAACGCGAGGGGGAAAGUCUGUCGAAAAGAAUGAAUGAGUGAGUGUGGAUGAAAUACCGAGGUGAGCAGGUGCAGCGGAGUGGGCACCUGAGAGUGAUUGAGCCGACGAGGAGGGUGUGGCUGACUGCAUGAGCCAAUUAGAUGAGCGAGGCAAACGCAAACACACAACAAACACACGGGCGCACAAGCGCACCAGCGACACUUUGGGGCCCGUGGCCAGUGGCAGCCUCAGUGGUCCCGCCAACGCCAAGAGGAGCUUAACUCUCAGCACUCGCUUGGACAGCGCUCACUCAAAAGCUUACAGGGCAAGUGCAUGUUUGUGUGUCUGUGUGUGAAAGACCAAACCAUUAUUGUAUAAGCUGCUGCAACAGGCCUGUGCAGGGGAAAAAAACUGUGUUGUGCCUCGUCUGUAAGGCUUCUGCCCGAUGUGAAAUUAAAUGUUGGAUGCUAGCAUGUAAGCACUGAGCAAUCAUUUUUACUGUUUCAGAUUAAUGAUACAUUUAUUCAUCUAUUUCUUUUUUUAAAGUAACAACAAAUAGCUUGUUCCAGGUUCACAUGGGUUGUUGUUACAGCAACAGUCCAGUAGCAUAGGUUUGGAUUCAUAGUCGACACUGGUUGGUAUCCCCACAACAGCUUUUCUGCUUAUCUAUUUCACCGAAGACGAAAGCAUUACUGAUCACUAAGGCAGAAAUGCCUUCUACCACAAAAGCCAAUUCAAAAGAUACUUGUAAUUAGUUAUUUGUCGUUUUAGAAUUAUUUCUAUUAAUAGAGGUGGAGUUUUUUUUUGCAUACACGCACAUCAUAUAUAAAUACAGUAUAAGCUUAUUCAUGCACAGUGUAAAAAUGUGUUUUUGAUGUUUGCUUUUACUGUUCACCUCGUCUUCAACAAUUCAAUUACUCAAAACACAUUCCUCUCUCACCAAAGCAACAGUUGCACAAAUAUACAUAAGAUUUCCUGCCGAUUUCUUUUGCCGAUACGGUGCACACACAAGAUUGUCUCGUCUCAAAUCUUCAAAUCUCUACUUUUUGAUACAUGAGCACUAAUAUGUCACCUACUAGUCGAUUGUCCUGCAGCUAAUUAAUGGUCCGUAAAGCAAUAACUUCUCAGUCUGAGCGUUCACUAGAUCCCCACACAGUAAUUUGCAUUAGCAAACAUCAAUAGUGUGGCGCAGAUGGUUAAACAGAUGAAGAGUAAUAUUAACACCAGAAAGGUAAACAACGGCUCACAGUUGAAUCAACCAAAUGUCAAGGACCAGAAUACUGAUUAUAAAUUCAAUAUACAAAACCCUGAGCCGAACACUAUCUCUUCCCCCUUUCCCAACUAUUUAAUGAUAUAACCAUACAAGGCCUCACAGUAAAUGUGUUUAUUACUCAUUCUUUAAGAAAAUUGUUGUUAAAUUACUUACAAUUUAACAUUAAAAUAGAAAUGAUAAGGAGGACUUGAACCUAGCAUUUCAUUUUACGUUAAUUGUGAGAGAAUUAUAG
Gasterosteus aculeatus aculeatus (three-spined stickleback) is the source of this 6172-nucleotide long non-coding RNA. Lineage: Eukaryota; Metazoa; Chordata; Actinopteri; Perciformes; Gasterosteidae. The record is from Ensembl.